This 85-nucleotide transfer RNA is filed under the name Felis catus (domestic cat). It matches the Rfam family "tRNA". Rfam says of the family: Transfer RNA (tRNA) molecules are approximately 80 nucleotides in length. Their secondary structure includes four short double-helical elements and three loops (D, anti-codon, and T loops). The record is from Rfam by way of RNAcentral. Lineage: Eukaryota; Metazoa; Chordata; Mammalia; Carnivora; Felidae.
GUCUGGGUGGCUCAGUCAGUUAAGCAUCUGACUUCAGCUCAGGUCAUGAACUCAUGGUUCAUGGGUUCGAGCCCCACUUCAGGCU